UGCCUGAGAGUGAUGCAGUCUGAGUCUGAAUAUAAAAUCAGUCAAAACUUUCAACAAUGGAUCUCUUGGUUCCGGCAUCGAUGAAGAACGCAGCGAACUGCGAUAAGUAAUGUGAAUUGCAGAAUUCAGUGAAUCAUCGAGUCUUUGAACGCACAUUGCGCCCCCUGGCAUUCCGGGGGGCAUGCCUGUCCGAGCGUCAUUGCUGCCCAUCAAGCCCGGCUUGUGUGUUGGGUCGUCGUCCCCCCCGGGGGACGGGCC
This 258-nucleotide ribosomal RNA is filed under the name Aspergillus sp. CLCTD04-5-M2. RNAcentral describes it as "5.8S ribosomal RNA". The stretch from base 46 to 199 matches the Rfam family "5.8S ribosomal RNA". Rfam says of the family: 5.8S ribosomal RNA (5.8S rRNA) is a component of the large subunit of the eukaryotic ribosome. It is transcribed by RNA polymerase I as part of the 45S precursor that also contains 18S and 28S rRNA. The record is from RNAcentral. Lineage: Eukaryota; Fungi; Ascomycota; Eurotiomycetes; Eurotiales; Aspergillaceae.